This 327-nucleotide ribosomal RNA is filed under the name Xyrodromeus africanus. RNAcentral describes it as "partial 12S ribosomal RNA". Lineage: Eukaryota; Metazoa; Arthropoda; Insecta; Ephemeroptera; Baetidae. The record is from RNAcentral.
AUUAAAAUGCUACUAACCCCGCCCUGAGUAGUAAUAGAACUCUCGAAACUCAAAGAAUUUGGCGGCACCCCAUCCUGUUAGAGGAGCCUGCCCCAUAAACGAUGGCCCACGAUUUAACUUUCCCUGGUUAAAAGUUUGUAUACCGCCGUAUAGGAUCCAUUUUAAAAUGGGUUCAUGAUUAUGUGAAUAAAAACUUCAGGUCAAGGUGCAGCUUAUGCUAGGGUGGUGGUGGGCUACAUUAAAUUUAUUUAAACAGCGAUUAAAUUCUAAAUUUAAACAAAGGUGGAUUUAAAUGUAAGGCUUAAGACUUUUCAGCCUGGCUAGGCU